UACAGAGGGGGCAAGCGUUGUUCGGAAUUACUGGGCGUAAAGGGCGCGUAGGCGGCCUUCUAAGUCGAACGUGAAAUCCCCGGGCUCAACCCGGGAACUGCGUCCGAUACUGGAAGGCUUGAAUUCGGGAGAGGGAUGCGGAAUUCCAGGUGUAGCGGUGAAAUGCGUAGAUAUCUGGAGGAACACCGGAGGCGAAGGCGCCUGCCUGGACGACUAUUGACGCUGAGGCGCGAAAGCGUGGGGAGCAAACAGG
This 253-nucleotide ribosomal RNA is filed under the name uncultured bacterium. Its description in RNAcentral is "partial 16S ribosomal RNA". It matches the Rfam family "Bacterial small subunit ribosomal RNA", at positions 524 to 776 of the family's 1533-position model. The record is from RNAcentral.